RNAcentral lists this transfer RNA (73 nucleotides) under Felis catus (domestic cat). It matches the Rfam family "tRNA". Rfam says of the family: Transfer RNA (tRNA) molecules are approximately 80 nucleotides in length. Their secondary structure includes four short double-helical elements and three loops (D, anti-codon, and T loops). Lineage: Eukaryota; Metazoa; Chordata; Mammalia; Carnivora; Felidae. The record is from Rfam by way of RNAcentral.
ACCUGGCUGGCUCAGUCAGUAGAGGAUGAGACUCUUGAUCUUGGGGUUGUGGGUUCAAGCCACACGCUGGGUG